UGUCGAUGGUAAACUCUUGUUUUGACAUUUUCGUUUAAGCCAUGGUUUUGUCGAUUAAUGAUUUUGAUGUCUGUUUCCCUUUGCAUUGGUAGCCUUUUUGGAAUGAUAGGUAGUUUCUACUUAUGUUUGGAGACAGAACAAAUGCCAUACCUAUUCAGAAUGUCACUAGAAACAAACUGUUCCGGGUUAGGGGAAGGUUGGGAUCCCGCUAACAUGUUUAACCUCGCCACAUUCUGGAUGUAUGUGCUUGUUCCAAGUCAGGAGCCUGUAAUUCAUGGUUGUCGUUUGUUGCUGUGUUACAUAUUUGUUUUUCUUUUUUUUUGUACAUUAAUAAGGCCGUUUUCUCGUUUGAAUUGCUUUACAUUUGUGAUUUCAGUGCCUUUUAUAACUGACUGUGGUAUGGUCUGUGUUCAUUGUUGAAGGCCGUACGGUGACCUAUAGCUGUAAUUUUUUGUGUCUCUUGUGGAGAGUAGUCUCAUUGGCAGUCAUUACACAUUUUCUUCUUUAUAUUUGUUGGACAAGUUAGGCAUUUGAUCAUCGGCAAACCCUCCAGGUAAUGUUGCAAUGGUUCCGUGCC
RNAcentral lists this long non-coding RNA (577 nucleotides) under Mytilus galloprovincialis (Mediterranean mussel). Lineage: Eukaryota; Metazoa; Mollusca; Bivalvia; Mytilida; Mytilidae. The record is from RNAcentral.